UAACUACACAACACUACAACAAUUAUGCUUUUUUAUGGGAGUUUUUUUGUGAGAAUUUUAGAAACUUCCACAAUAUAUUUGAUUUCUAACAAUUUAAAAAACUUCCGCAGAUAUAAUUAAUAAAGACUCCACUAUUAGUUCGAAAUUAAAAAUAAAACUCCCCUGCUUCACCCCUGAAAAGAAGAACUCUCACUCAAACAGGGGGAGAGUGAGAUCUGAGUGUUAGCAAAACAGAGAUUCAGAGAGAAGACAAAGCUCGCCACCAAAACCCUAAGUUUGCCGCCGUAGCCAUUGCCGCCUCUAUCGCCACCGCAGUUCAUCUCCUCUCCAGAUCUAGUUGAUCGCAACGUCAAAGCCUUCGCGUACUAUUGUCUUGACCUAAUUGCAUCUUACAUUUCAUGCUAUUCGAAUCGAAGCUGUCAAGUUACAAAUAGAAUAGGAAAAAAACAAGUUAAGACUAAACUUGAGUCUAUAUAUGAUGAUUCAUGAUCUUGAGGCACUUCAAAAUACAAAAACUUCUUUUGGAACAGAACAGACCACAUGUUGCAAUAGUCUCAGUAUGCGAGGCACCCAAUGAUCAUCAUGUUCUUCUUGAGGGAACCUUCCUCAAGCCUAACAUGGUUACCCCUGGCUCUGAUAGCCCAAAGAACACCUUGCACAUAUCCAGGCAAAAACAUUACAUUCCGUGUCAAUGAAGGUUCUAUACCCUUUUGGCUAUCACUCUUGGCAGAGUGGGAGGAUGGAGAUGGAGACAUCAGCUCCAUGUAUUUAUAAGAAGUUCUAAGGGAUGGACAGUGGCAAGAGCAAAAUGCAGCCAUAAUUUAAAAGGGUGUAAUGAUGACCACUUGAUCCUUGUUAAUUUUCAUACGAGAAUUCUAUUUAAGUAUUGUAUGAGUAUUAGAAAUGUGUUUUUUUUAAGUGCAUAUUUGCAUUCAAUGUUGAUCAUCCUUAGAUUAAAUAAUUAUGAAAUGAAAGAGAUUUAUGAUCUAAUAGAAGGUUGUGAAAUAGAAGAGUAUUUUAGGAGGAAUAAUUAUGAGGGGUUGAAUUUUGGGGCAUCGAUAAAAAAAUUUAUUAAAGGUUUGUUAGGGCAUUUGAAACUAACACAUGUGACUAAUUUUUU
Arachis stenosperma is the source of this 1120-nucleotide long non-coding RNA. RefSeq lists it as uncharacterized. NCBI's taxonomy places the organism in Eukaryota, Viridiplantae, Streptophyta, Magnoliopsida, Fabales, Fabaceae. The record is from RefSeq and is a predicted model, not a curated record. The transcript is spliced from 6 exons.